RNAcentral lists this ribosomal RNA (496 nucleotides) under uncultured bacterium. Its description in RNAcentral is "partial 16S ribosomal RNA". It matches the Rfam family "Bacterial small subunit ribosomal RNA", at positions 30 to 523 of the family's 1533-position model. The record is from RNAcentral.
AUUGAACGCUGGCGGAAUGCUUUACACAUGCAAGUCGAACGGUAGAGGGGGCAACCCCUCGAGAGUGGCGAACGGGUGAGUAAUAUAUCGGAACGUGCCCAGUCGUGGGGGAUAACGUAGCGAAAGUUACGCUAAUACCGCAUACGAUCUAAGGAUGAAAGCGGGGGAUCGCAAGACCUCGCGCGAUUGGAGAGGCCGAUAUCAGAUUAGGUAGUUGGUGGGGUAAAGGCUCACCAAGCCAACGAUCUGUAGCUGGUCUGAGAGGACGACCAGCCACACUGGAACUGAGACACGGUCCAGACUCCUACGGGAGGCAGCAGUGGGGAAUUUUGGACAAUGGACGCAAGUCUGACCCAGCCAUUCCGCGUGCAGGAUGAAGGCCCUCGGGUUGUAAACUGCUUUUGUACGGAACGAAAAGGUCUCUCUUAAUACGGGGGACUCAUGACGGUACCGUAAGAAUAAGCACCGGCUAACUACGUGCCAGCAGCCGCCGUAA